UAAACUAGGAUUAGAUACCCUAUUAUUUUAAAUGUAAAAAUUUGGAAAUACUAAAUUAGUAUUAGUUAUGUUCUUGAAAAUUAAAAAAUUUGGCGGUAUUUUAGUCUUUUCAGAGGAAUCUGUCCUGUAAUUGAUAGUCCACGAUUAAAUUUACUUUAUUUAUUAAUUUAUAUAUCGUCGUAGUUUGAAUAUUUUAAAAGAAUAUUAAUAUUCAGAAUUUUAAAUUAAAAAAUAAAUCAGAUCAAGGUGUAGUUUAUAAUAAAGAAGCGAUGGAUUACAAUAAAUUUAUUUUAGGAUAAUUUAUUUAAAAUAAAUUUGAAUUUGGAUUUGAGAGUAAUUUUAAAUAUUUUUUUAAUAUGAUUAUAGCUCUAAAAUAUGCACACAUCGCCCGUCGCUCUUAA
RNAcentral lists this ribosomal RNA (401 nucleotides) under Bruchidius meridionalis. RNAcentral describes it as "partial 12S ribosomal RNA". The record is from RNAcentral. Lineage: Eukaryota; Metazoa; Arthropoda; Insecta; Coleoptera; Chrysomelidae.